This is a long non-coding RNA of Carassius gibelio (silver crucian carp), 738 nucleotides long. RefSeq lists it as uncharacterized. NCBI's taxonomy places the organism in Eukaryota, Metazoa, Chordata, Actinopteri, Cypriniformes, Cyprinidae. The record is from RefSeq and is a predicted model, not a curated record. The transcript is spliced from 5 exons.
CUCAGAGUGGAUCACUACCUAGACGCCAGCUGCGAGAUUUUCUGAGUGUUGAUUGUCAUCUGAUUGUGAGCUAACUACAGCCCAAAGGCUCUUUUAAGAGCCACAAGCACUGAGGAUCUUUGGCUUUCCAACCUCAACCAAGAUGUCGGUUGAGCAGGAGAUGACAUUGCCUACCACACUACAGGUGAUCAUGCUAGAUAUGAGAAAUAAUUGUUGAGAAUUCUAUUACAAGAAACAAUUUAGCUGAAGAUGCCUUUGUUUUAGGGAGUAGUCUGCUGUUUGCAACCUACUGGAUGGUCAGAAUUGAGGGGAAGGUCUUCUAUGAAGCUAACCAACUUCAUAACUUUGCCAGUGCUUUCGCUGUCUUUUUCGGCUCCUUUUAUGUGUUCAAUCUGGAGUAUCAGGAGCCAGCAUCCACUACACUGGAGACGGUACAGAGAAAGGAAUUGAUGCCACCUGACACCAGUGAUCUGCUGUGAUUUGUGGAGUGGAAGUUUGGAAUUGUUUCUGAAGUGUAUUUUUAUUGUGAUUUUUUUUUAUUUUAUUUGUUUUGUUUUGUAACUUAGUUUUGUUUUAAUUAGAUUAUUUGUUUAAAAUAAAAUAUUUUGUUUGACAAAAAAGCACAAUAAAGAAUAUGUUGAUGUACAUGGACUCAAGUCACUUUUUUGGGAAUUUGUUAAAUUCAAUAGCAUUAAUGUAAAAUAUAAAUAUUAAAAUAUUUUUAAUAAAUUACAAUAA